Molecule: ribosomal RNA, 494 nt
Filed under: uncultured bacterium
Lineage: Bacteria
Description: partial 16S ribosomal RNA
Rfam family: Bacterial small subunit ribosomal RNA
Source: RNAcentral
GACGAACGCUGGCGGCGUGCUUAACACAUGCAAGUCGAACGGUGAAGCGCCUUCCUUUUUGGUGGGUGUGGAUGAGUGGCGAACGGGUGAGUAACACGUGAGUAACCUGCCCCCUUCUUCUGGAUAACCGCAUGAAAGUGUGGCUAAUACGGGAUAUUCUGGGUCUGUCGCAUGAUGGGUCUGGGAAAGAUAUUGUUUCGGUGGGGGAUGGGCUCGCGGCCUAUCAGCUUGUUGGUGGGGUGAUGGCCUACCAAGGCGGUGACGGGUAGCCGGCCUGAGAGGGUGGACGGUCACACUGGGACUGAGACACGGCCCAGACUCCUACGGGAGGCAGCAGUGGGGAAUAUUGCACAAUGGGCGCAAGCCUGAUGCAGCGACGCCGCGUGAGGGAUGGAGGCCUUCGGGUUGUGAACCUCUUUCGCCAGUGAAGCAGGCCUGCCUCGUUUGUGGGUGGGUUGACGAUAGCUGGAUAAGAAGCGCCGGCUAACUACGUG